This 491-nucleotide ribosomal RNA is filed under the name uncultured bacterium. RNAcentral's name for it is "partial 16S ribosomal RNA". It matches the Rfam family "Bacterial small subunit ribosomal RNA", at positions 29 to 507 of the family's 1533-position model. The record is from RNAcentral.
GUGAACGCUGGCGGUAGGCCUAACACUUGCAAGUCGAACGGCAGCACAGUAAGAGCUUGCUCUUACGGGUGGCGAGUGGCGGACGGGUGAGGAAUACAUCGGAAUCUACUUUUUCGUGGGGGAUAACGUAGGGAAACUUACGCUAAUACCGCAUACGACCUACGGGUGAAAGCAGGGGAUCUUCGGACCUUGCGCGAUUGAAUGAGCCGAUGUCGGAUUAGCUAGUUGGCGGGGUAAAGGCCCACCAAGGCGACGAUCCGUAGCUGGUCUGAGAGGAUGAUCAGCCACACUGGAACUGAGACACGGUCCAGACUCCUACGGGAGGCAGCAGUGGGGAAUAUUGGACAAUGGGCGCAAGCCUGAUCCAGCCAUACCGCGUGGGUGAAGAAGGCCUUCGGGUUGUAAAGCCCUUUUGUUGGGAAAGAAAAGCAGCAGGUUAAUACCCCGCUGUUCUGACGGUACCCAAAGAAUAAGCACCGGCUAACUUCGUG